RNAcentral lists this ribosomal RNA (468 nucleotides) under uncultured bacterium. RNAcentral describes it as "partial 16S ribosomal RNA". It matches the Rfam family "Bacterial small subunit ribosomal RNA", at positions 28 to 507 of the family's 1533-position model. The record is from RNAcentral.
GACGAACGCUGGCGGCGUGCUUAACACAUGCAAGUCGAACGGAAAGGCCCUGCUUUUGUGGGGUGCUCGAGUGGCGAACGGGUGAGUAACACGUGAGUAACCUGCCCUUGACUUUGGGAUAACUUCAGGAAACCGGGGCUAAUACCGGAUAGGAGCUCCUGCUGCAUGGUGGGGGUUGGAAAGUUUCGGCGGUUGGGGAUGGACUCGCGGCUUAUCAGCUUGUUGGUGGGGUAGUGGCUUACCAAGGCUUUGACGGGUAGCCGGCCUGAGAGGGUGACCGGCCACAUUGGGACUGAGAUACGGCCCAGACUCCUACGGGAGGCAGCAGUGGGGAAUAUUGCACAAUGGGCGGAAGCCUGAAGCAGCAACGCCGCGUGCGGGAUGACGGCCUUCGGGUUGUAAACCGCUUUCGCCUGUGACGAAGCGUGAGUGACGGUAAUGGGUAAAGAAGCACCGGCUAACUACGUG